This 78-nucleotide transfer RNA is filed under the name Candidatus Omnitrophota bacterium. RNAcentral describes it as "Candidatus Omnitrophica bacterium tRNA-Trp". It matches the Rfam family "tRNA". From Rfam's summary of the family: Transfer RNA (tRNA) molecules are approximately 80 nucleotides in length. Lineage: Bacteria; Pseudomonadati; Candidatus Omnitrophota. The record is from RNAcentral.
AGGCCUGUAGCUCUAAUUGGCUAGAGCAGCGGACUCCAAAUCCGACAGUUGGGGGUUCGAAUCCCUCCAGGCCUGCCA